Molecule: ribosomal RNA, 427 nt
Filed under: uncultured prokaryote
Description: bacterial SSU rRNA
Rfam family: Bacterial small subunit ribosomal RNA
Source: RNAcentral
UGGGGAAUUUUCCGCAAUGGGCGCAAGCCUGACGGAGCAAGACCGCGUGAGGGAGGAAGGCCCUUGGGUUGUAAACCUCUUUUCUCAGGGAAGAAGAAAGUGACGGUACCUGAGGAAUAAGCACCGGCUAACUCCGUGCCAGCAGCCGCGGUAAUACGGAGGGUGCAAGCGUUGUCCGGAAUUAUUGGGUGUAAAGGGUGUGUAGGCGGACUUGUAAGUCAGAGGUGAAAGCCCACGGCUUAACCGUGGAACUGCCUUUGAUACUGCAGGUCUUGAGUCCUGGAGAGGUCGCUGGAAUUCGUGGUGUAGCGGUGAAAUGCGUAGAUAUCACGAGGAACACCAGAGGUGUAGACGGGUGACUGGACAGGAACUGACGCUGAGGCACGAAAGCGUGGGGAGCAAACAGGAUUAGAUACCCCCGUAGUCC